Molecule: long non-coding RNA, 439 nt
Organism: Thunnus maccoyii (southern bluefin tuna)
Lineage: Eukaryota; Metazoa; Chordata; Actinopteri; Scombriformes; Scombridae
Exons: 4
Source: RefSeq, a predicted model, not a curated record
CGCCAAAGGAAUUUACUUCACUGCAGACGCUGACGAUCACUCCUGCUGAUCAUCCCAGGUCUCACUGUGUAAGGAGAACCUGAACCUGAGAUCCUGUGUAUGACUAAAUGGAUGCUGCUGAUGGAGACCUGACUUCACCACCACCUUGGCUGCCAUCUUCACAUCUUGCUAUACAUUCACAGUUGAAUCAGGAGGAAACAAUGACAUCGCUGCAGUCUGUUCAGAAGUAGCUGUCAUCCAAUUUGCUGAAGAGCACAAAGCAGCAGUGGAGGAUCAAAGUGAAAUCACCCGGCGGCUCCAGACCUGCAUCCAUUGUAAAUAAUUGUCAUUUAAAGAGUUGGUUCUGUACUCAUUUAUUGAAAUUUAAAUGUGGUUUGAAAGUUUACAGCAUUAUAUGAAUAACUGUAAUCUAAUUUACUGCAAAAUGUCUGGUGCUGUA